UCUGCCCAUGACACAGGAAUAACCAGUGGAAACGCUGGCUAAUGCCUGAUGACGUGCAGCCUCUUCGGAGAUCUGUACCAAAGGUAGCUUCGGCCUCCGGUCAUGGAUGAGCCCGCGGCCCAUUAGCUUGUUGGCGGGGUAACGGCCCACCAAGGCGAAGAUCGGUAGCCGGCCUGAGAGGGCGCACGGCCACACUGGAACUGAAACACGGUCCAG
Molecule: ribosomal RNA, 216 nt
Filed under: uncultured bacterium
Lineage: Bacteria
Description: partial 16S ribosomal RNA
Rfam family: Bacterial small subunit ribosomal RNA
Source: RNAcentral